Vidua macroura (Pin-tailed whydah) is the source of this 1749-nucleotide long non-coding RNA. RefSeq lists it as uncharacterized. The record is from RefSeq and is a predicted model, not a curated record. The transcript is spliced from 2 exons. NCBI's taxonomy places the organism in Eukaryota, Metazoa, Chordata, Aves, Passeriformes, Viduidae.
CAGCAAAUCAUUUCUCAUUGCACUCACAUUGUGAAGAUCUUGGUGUAGGUGUACAGCCCUCCCAUCUCGCAAAUACUGGUUACUUUGAGACAGCUGCAUAAUGAAAAGCAAGUAACUUUAUUCCUUCCUCUUCACUUGUUUGCAUUUCAGUAGCAGCAAAAAUGCAAAAGACGCUCCAACCAGGCUCCACAUUCUGUUUUGGGGCAGUUUUCACCCAAUCCUGCUAUCUCCUGCCCAUCCCCACAGCUUCACACUCCACACUUCAGAAAAAAACCCCACUUUCCUGGUGCCCCUUGCUGCCAAGGCAUCCCUGUGGUGGCAGAGGACUUGGGUCUACCCCAAACUUUAAUGCUCUGGGCGAGCAUGUGGCCUCCACACCUGAAGCACAGCAGUGCCUCAAAGAGGGGCUGUGCCACUCUCCCUGUCCAUGUCAGAAAUUAAGUUCAGCUUCACCCUUGCCAAGGUGGGGAAAAAAGCUUUAGGGAAUAAGGCGAGGAAGCAGCAAGUUGGAGGAGGCACACAGAGACACCACCACUACCACCUCCCCACCUCUGCCUAACCUGGUGUUUCAGGCCAGCUCCAGCUAUUGCUGCCAUGGAUGUUAGUGUGGGAAAGAAUGGCGGCAGGAAGAGGGAAAGGGAAUUGCCAGCAAGGAGCUCAUUUCAGCUGGCCUGCAGGGUGUUAUGCUGUCCACGGCAGGAAGAACAGGGGAAUUCCCAACUUAGCAAUAGUCAUUGUCAAAUUGAGGUAGAAGGAGAAAAGGGCUGGGCACAGCAGUUAUACCCUUCCAUGGCUGAGAACCAAGUGCUUUCUAAGUCAUCUGUUUUUUAAGUUAUUAGUCACCAUCACUUCCUAGCCACAUAAACUCAUCCCGUUUGAUUUUAAACCUCCUGACAGGUCCCCGGGCCACUUGGACGCGAGCUUCCCAUCGGUCUCACGAGAGGAGAGGCGAUUCAGAAAGCACCACCGCAGCAGGACUUAGGAAGAUGUGGAUGCUUUGCUUCACUGCAAUUCCUUGGCCUCGAGAGCUGGAUGCACAACACAGAUGAUUCUUUGGCUCAUUGUCCUGGGUUUUUUUAUAGGAAGGCAUAUAAAAUGCAGCUAAGGCAGCUCUGACAAGCUAAAACAAAGGAUUUUUUUCUUUUUUUGACACAUGCAUGUGGCUUUUGAAUACAUCCUGAAGUUUGUGGCUAUAAAUAUUUUUGCAAGAAGGAAACUAUGGUAGCAGAAACCUACUUAAUUUAUAAAAAAAAAGACUGGUACACUACAUGCUGAGAGGAUGCUCACCAAUGUGACCAUGGGGCUACCAUUAAUUGAAAAAGAAUCCUGACCCUGCCUAUGCAGGAAAAUCAGCAUUUUCUGCUGUCUUCAUUUGCUGCGUUGAGGAACUGCACCUGGGAGACAAGCAGCAUUUCAAAGGGGCCCGGCUACCAGAAAAUGGUGGUCAAAAUGAACAGGAGUUUUCAGCUGCAAUCAUCUCCAGCUAAAAUUCAGAUCAACAGAAGGAAGAGAAACUGUGAUCCAUUGGCACAGACAAACUCCAGCUUGCACAUCAUCCUCCAGCAGAGCUAAGGCAGAGAAUAAGUCACCACAAACCCACAAGAAGAGCCACGCCCAUUUCAUAACCUAUAAUUUUUAAAUAUAACAUUUUAUUGCUUAGAUGGUUUGAUACAGAACAAGUUUUACUUUUUAUUUUGAAUUUGGAAGUACUGUACAACUGAAAAAAGAGGAAUAAAAGUACCAAAACUA